GAUGAAGAACGCAGCGAAAUGCGAUAAGUAAUGUGAAUUGCAGAAUUCAGUGAAUUAUCGAAUCUUUGAACGCACAUUGCGCCCGUCAGUAUUCUGGCGGGCAUGCCUGUUCGAGCGUCAUUACGCCCCUCAAGUCCCCUGUGGACUUGGUGUUGGGGAUCGGCGAGGCUGGUUUUCCAGCACAGCCGUCCCUUAAAUUAAUUGGCGGUCUCGCCGUGGCCCUCCUCUGCGCAGUAGUAAAACACUCGCAACAGGAGCCCGGCGCGGUCCACUGCCGUAAAACCCCCCAACUUUUUAUAGUUGACCUCGAAUCAGGUAGGACUACCCGCUGAACUUAAGCAUAUCAAUAAGCGGAGGA
RNAcentral lists this unclassified non-coding RNA (358 nucleotides) under soil metagenome. Its description in RNAcentral is "partial contains 5.8S ribosomal RNA, internal transcribed spacer 2, and large subunit ribosomal RNA". The stretch from base 1 to 120 matches the Rfam family "5.8S ribosomal RNA", at positions 35 to 154 of the family's 154-position model. The record is from RNAcentral.